UGGACGUCUAGGUGUCUAACCUCCUCCGAGGUAGACACCAGAGGUAACCUGACACCAGGGAAGAAAGUGGUCAGUCAGAAAUUCCACAUACUUUGCAGAGGUUAUCUUUACACCUUCGGGGACCCUAAAGGGGACGACCAGCUCUCUUCCCAUGAUUCUAGCCCAAAACAUGACUACACCACCACCUUGCUGAUGUCGCAGCCUUGUUGGAACAGGGUGGCCAUCCACCAACCAUCCACUACUCCAUCCAUCUGGACCAUCCAGGAUUGCACGGCACUCAUCAGUGAACAGGACUGUUUGAAAAUUAGUCUUCAUGUAUUUUUGAUGUAUGUAUGAUUCCCUUUUAUUCCAGAAGUUUGGUCCUUAACCCCUUAAGGACACAUGACAUGUGUGACAUGUCAUGAUUCCCUUUUAUUCCAGAAGUUUGAUCCUUAAGGGGUUAAGGGGUUAAUAAUAUGGAACACCCUCCUUUAGUAGUUUUUCCUU
Molecule: non-coding RNA, 486 nt
Organism: Pelobates cultripes (western spadefoot toad)
Lineage: Eukaryota; Metazoa; Chordata; Amphibia; Anura; Pelobatidae
Source: the annotation of a GenBank genome assembly